AUGGCUUCCAGUCUUGUGGUGAAACCUCAGAUGCGUAGCCUCCUGGCCAAGCGUCUGCAAUUUCAUGUUGUUGGAGCAUUCGUUGAAUACCUGGGAGUUGCAGCUCUCUGUAAGUUUGAUGUGGCUGAACCAAGAAAAAAAGCACACGAUUUCUACAGAUAUUAUGAUGCCGUCAAAGAUUUUGAGGUGAUGAGGAAGGCUGGCAUCUUUCAGAGUGCAAAG
Molecule: long non-coding RNA, 222 nt
Filed under: Homo sapiens (human)
Lineage: Eukaryota; Metazoa; Chordata; Mammalia; Primates; Hominidae
Description: non-protein coding lnc-SLC22A18-5:1
Source: RNAcentral